AUGGGCCUGUGUGUGUCGUACGACGCGGCGGCCCACGGCCCGGCGACCGCGAGGGUGGUGCUCCCCAGCGGCGAGCUCCGGGAGUACUCGCCGCCCGCGACGGCAGCGAUGGCUCUUGAGGAGGUGGGGCACCAGGAGUGGUUCCUCUGCGACGCCGACGCGAUGGGGUUCGAGGGCUCCGUCGCGGCGGUGGCCAGCGGCGAGGCGCUCCUGCCGGGGCAGAUCUACUUCGUGCUCCCCAGCGACAUGCUGCGCCGCCGCCUCGCCCCCGGGGAGGUGGCAUCGCUCGCCGUCAAGGCCAGCGCCGCCCUCGUCAAGGCCGCCACCGUGUCAUCAGCCGGCAGCCGGCGCCGUCGGGGCUCCGUGGCGCCGCUCGUGUUUGAGCCGUCCGAGGAGGACUACUCGGCCGAGGAUGCCUUCACCAUGGCGACGUUCGCGGUGAAGCCGAUGGUGGCGCAGAAACGGAGGGUGGCGUACCGAGGCGGCAGGUCGCCACCGAGGUUCUCGCCCGACUUAACCGCCAUCUCCGAGAGCGAGUAG
This 540-nucleotide ribosomal RNA is filed under the name Triticum aestivum (bread wheat). RNAcentral describes it as "partial small subunit ribosomal RNA". The record is from RNAcentral. Lineage: Eukaryota; Viridiplantae; Streptophyta; Magnoliopsida; Poales; Poaceae.